GAUGAACGCUGGCGGCGUGCUUAACACAUGCAAGUCGAGCGAGUGAGUUCUUCGGAACGAUCUAGCGGCGGACGGGUGAGUAACACGUGGGCAACCUGCCUCAUAGAGGGGAAAAGCCUCCCGAAAGGGAGAUUAAUACCGCAUAAAAUUAUCGAGUGGCAUCACAUGAUAAUCAAAGGAGUAAUCCGCUAUGAGAUGGGCCCGCGGCGCAUUAGCUAGUUGGUGAGGUAACGGCUCACCAAGGCGACGAUGCGUAGCCGACCUGAGAGGGUGAUCGGCCACAUGGGGACUGAUACACGGCCCAGACUCCGACGGGAGGCAGCAGUGGGGAAUAUUGCACAAUGGGGGAAACCCUGAUGCAGCAACGCCGCGUGAGUGAUGAAGGUCUUCGGAUUGUAAAGCUCUGUCUUUGGGGACGAUAAUGACGGUACCCAAGGAGGAAGCCACGGCUAACUACGUGCCAGCCGCCGCGGUAA
Molecule: ribosomal RNA, 476 nt
Filed under: uncultured bacterium
Lineage: Bacteria
Description: partial 16S ribosomal RNA
Rfam family: Bacterial small subunit ribosomal RNA
Source: RNAcentral